Long non-coding RNA from Vicia villosa (hairy vetch), 1630 nucleotides. RefSeq lists it as uncharacterized. The record is from RefSeq and is a predicted model, not a curated record. Lineage: Eukaryota; Viridiplantae; Streptophyta; Magnoliopsida; Fabales; Fabaceae. The transcript has 7 exons.
UCUCUGGGUCUGCAAAGACUAUGAAUGAACAUGGAUAGAUUUUAGGGUUUUUUGGAAAUUUUUGUCAAAAAGCUGCGCUGGAAUGUUUGUGAAUAGCUAUAGGUUCUAAAUUUAGGGUUUUUCUUCUGUUCUUGUGUAAAAGCUGUGCUCUGAGUUUUUGUCUUCUUUUCUUGGAGAAACGCACUAAAUCACACCUCGAAGGCAGCGAAGUCCACACUUCAAGUUGCACAACGAUGUGAAAGAGACAGAAUAGAUCUGAAUUUGUUAUUUCAUUUUUGUCUUGAUUCGUUGCAGUGGCUAUGAUGAUGAAUCUGCAGAAGAUAGAGAGCGGUGAAGGUUCUGCGGUUUUAAGAUUCAGAGAAUGGUGAUGAAGAUCUUGCAGAGAAUAGGGAGAGUUUUCUUGUUAUAUGUUUUGUUAAGCUCUUGUUGGCAUUGGAUGUAGGGUGAGAUUGUUGGAAACUGAUAUAGCAGUAGGACGGGGAGUCAUAGAUAAGUCCAUGUUAACUUGAUUGUUAUGUUUUUAUGCUACUUUGAUUUUGAUUUUGAUAUUUGUUGAUCAGUAGCUAUGCUCAGACGUAUGCUUCCAAAGGCUAUGCUCAGAUGUAUGAUGCUGACCACUUUUAAACUUUCUGUCCGAUAUAGCUAAGUAUGCUUCUAUCUGUUUGUUGUGGCUUUUCAAUUUUCAGAUUGAAGCAAAGAUGGAUAGAAGUGAGCAUUGAUACACAGGUGAAAGAACUCAUAAAGGCUGUGAAUCACGGUUUAGAAUCUGAAGAUUUUGAUAGUGACGGUGGCAUUCGUAGAACAAUGGUGUUUGCCAACACUGUUGAAGCUGCUGAAGUUGUGGCAAAGAUAUUGAACUUUACUGGGCUUGAGUGUUUACGUUAUCAUAAGAAUUGCACAUUGGAAGAGCGAGCACAAACAUUAGUUGAUUUCCAUGAGAAAGGUGGUGUUCUUGUAUGUACUGAUGCAGCUACUCGUGGUGUGGAUAUUCCAAACGUCUUGCAUGUUAUUUAGCUGCAGGAACCUUGGCACCAAGGUUAGGUUUCGCGUUAAAGGCAUGAUGUACAGUAGGGAUGAUUUAUGAAUUGAUGAAUGGAUUCACAUUUGUGUUGGAACUUGGAUAUUGCAUACUUGUGAGCAGCUUGGAUUGGUGUAUAUUCAACUAGAAAUAAAGCUGACUGACAUGAUGUUCAUUUGAAUCCACAAUUUUGUUUGAGGAUAACCUAAGUCAACACCGCAACGUCGUGGAACUGAGGCAAUUAAAUCAUCUCUGUACCUGCCACGAAGCUUGGCUCUAUAGCCAUUGAAGGAUGGAUAUUGAGGUAUAAACGAUUUAUGGGCCAAGGAGGAUGCAUGGCUAUUGAGGAUGGAUAUUAAAUAGCAUCGGAGUUGGACAAUGGUUGGAAACAAAGUGAAAAAUCAGGCUCUCCAAUUGACAUUGAUUCUUCCCUAAAGGAUUAUUUUACGUUGAUAUUGAAUAUGCCCAGAUGUUGAGAUAAAGUAGCUUGGUGUAAAGGAUUAUUUUACGUUGAAAUUGAAUAUGAAAAGUUUUAUAUGUCUUAUUGUAUUUUUUGCAAAACUAUUGGUCAUUGGAUCAAGGAAUAUAAGAAAACUAAAGUUCCUCGGUUAA